GGAACUCCAGUGAUGGGGGCAUUCCUUUUAUAGCUGCUGGGGUAGAGGAACAGAAACGUCGCGGAGAGAGAGAAGGGGAGCAGCGCGAAGGCCGGAAAGAAGCAAUGGAGUGCUCUGCCGUGGCGGCGAUUGAGCAAACAGGGCGGUGCCGCAGGACUCCGGGGGUGACGCCAGCGAUCAUUGCGCUAUACCGUCAGGGCGGCGUAGGCGCUGGUAGACCGGUGGUUGGGAUUUGGCGGAAAGCGGGCGUCGUCGUGCGGAAGAGGUGAUGGAAGCGACCGGUUAAACGGCGCUAGAAUCGAGGGUGCACAGGUGAGAAGACAGGCGAACGCGGGCGCGGGGGAGAGCGCGGAACAACAG
Molecule: long non-coding RNA, 360 nt
Filed under: Setaria viridis
Lineage: Eukaryota; Viridiplantae; Streptophyta; Magnoliopsida; Poales; Poaceae
Description: long non-coding RNA (SVIR_LNC007047)
Source: RNAcentral